Long non-coding RNA from Lagopus muta (rock ptarmigan), 1442 nucleotides. RefSeq lists it as uncharacterized. The transcript has 4 exons. Lineage: Eukaryota; Metazoa; Chordata; Aves; Galliformes; Phasianidae. The record is from RefSeq and is a predicted model, not a curated record.
UUCACCUGUGCUCCUCUGGCUGCCUUACUGCUCGCCUCAGGUGAUCAAUCAGAGGUUCAGGCCGUGACUCAGCAGUUCCCAUACAAAGGCCAAGAUGGAUGGUGCCCUGGGCAGCUGGGUCUAGUAUUAAAUAUGGAGGUCUGACACCAUCUGGGGCCGGUUCUGUGCUAUGCAGACACUGUUCAAAAGGAGUUCAGCAGCUUUGUGGCCAAGCGUGAAGAUGACAGUGUUGAAAAUGAAAAUCUUAGAUCAUAAAUAAUUGCCUUGUGAACCAAAUUGUGACGGUUUGAGCCAGUGGAAGUGACUUCAAUAGUGCAAGAGUAUCAAUCUGUUCUCUUGGAAGCAUUCCAGAAGCACUAAAAUUGUCCAUAAAGUGAUGUUUUGAAGACUAGUCCAGCUGUUUCCAGUGCCUACCUUUCAUUCCUCAGAGUGGACGGCCUCCUUUUUGAAUGUUGCUGCAUGGAGGUAAAUAAGUUAAAUCAUGGACAAAAAUCUCUUCUGUAUUGUUUCGUACCUGUUUUUAAUGAACAACCUUUCAGACAUAAACAAAGUCAUAUUCAUAAAUUUAGAUAAACAAAAUCUGAUCAGCUUGCUGUGUAACUUUUGGAUCAAUACAUGUACGGUCAGGAGAGAGAUGAUUCAUUCUUCAGUAGUUUCAAAUAGAUGGAAGUUUGAAUUUGCUAUUGUUUGGGAUCUCCAACAGGAACUCAAUGCUCCAGACAAGCAUUUUCAAAGAUAGCUAUCUGCUGCAGUCAGAAGAAGACUGGCAAACUGUGAUCAUGACUGGAGAGAGAACUUGAAAACUGAGCUCAUAAAUACACUGAAGCUAAAAAAGAAUCAAGGCGAAAAGAAUACCAUGUAUUAACGUUUUCAAAACAUCAAGCUGUGGAGUGUGAAUUCUGCUUGUUGUUUGUUUGUGGAAGCUGGAAUGUCAUUUCAGUUCAUUUUGAAAGUUGUGUAUGAGAAGAUUGACAAAGGUUUGGUAGUGACAACAAGAGAUCAGAAAUUUUUCCUUUGUCUUCCCUGUUGGACCGAUCCUUGUUUGCAAGGCAGUGUUCAAAUUCUCCUCUGUGUAAUAGAUUAGGAAUGUCCAUGCCCUCAGUAUUACUCCGGCUUCAAACUGAAAUUGGAUAGGAAUGGAAGGGAUUCUGGCAUACUGCCAUUUCUUGUUAUACUACUUUGGCCUUACAAAAUAUUUCAGCCAAAUAGUUGAUUAUUUAAACAUCUGAACCAUUCCCAUGCAAAUAAUGUCUGUUCUUGGUAUCUGUGGCUAUUUUAAUGAAUCAGUUCUGAUUGGCACAUUGUUAAGACAUGUUUACGAAUAAGGUGGUGAGAAGAUUAGUAACAGAGGAGAACUUGUAGCACUAUUAGAAAUGAUCGGAAAAUAUGAGUUUAGAUGGAACAUGAGGUUAGGUAGUCCAAACUUAAACCAAGGUCAACAC